UGAGGAAUUUUGCGCAAUGGGAGCAAUCCUGACGCAGCAACGCCGCGUGGGUGAUGAAGGCCUUCGGGUCGUAAAGCCCUGUCAGGUGGGAAGAAUGUCCCGGAAUUGAACAGGUUUCGGGAGUGACGGUACCACCAGAGGAAGCACCGGCUAACUCCGUGCCAGCAGCCGCGGUAAUACGGAGGGUGCAAGCGUUCUUCGGAAUUACUGGGCGUACAGCGCGUGUAGGCGGUCCUGCAAGUCUGAUGUGAAAGCCCCGGGCUUAACCCGGGAAGUGCAGUGGAAACUGCAGUGCUUGAGUACUGGAGAGGAUGGGGGAAUUCCCGGUGUAGAGGUGAAAUUCGUAGAGAUCGGGAGGAAUAUCAGUGGCGAAGGCGCCCAUCUGGACGGUAACUGACGCUGAGACGCGAAAGCGUGGGGAGCAAACA
This 428-nucleotide ribosomal RNA is filed under the name uncultured prokaryote. RNAcentral's name for it is "bacterial SSU rRNA". It matches the Rfam family "Bacterial small subunit ribosomal RNA", at positions 355 to 774 of the family's 1533-position model. The record is from RNAcentral.